AGUGAACGCUGGCGGUAGGCCUAACACAUGCAAGUCGAACGGCAGCACAGUAAGAGCUUGCUCUUACGGGUGGCGAGUGGCGGACGGGUGAGGAAUACAUCGGAAUCUACUUUUUCGUGGGGGAUCACGUAGGGAAACUUACGCUAAUACCGCAUACGACCUACGGGUGAAAGCAGGGGAUCUUCGGACCUUGCGCGAUUGAAUGCGCCGAUGUCGGAUUAGCUAGUUGGCGGGGUAAAGGCCCACCAAGGCGACGAUCCGUAGCUGGUCUGAGAGGAUGAUCAGCCACACUAGAGCUGGGACACGGUCCAGACUCCUACGAGAGGCAGCAGUGGGGAAUAUGGGACAAUAGGCGCAAGCCUGAUCCAGCCAUACCGCGUGUGUGAAGAAGGCCUUCGGGUUGUAAAGCCCUUUUGUUGGGAAAGAAAAGCAGCAGGUUAAUACCCCGCUGUUCUGACGGUACCCAAAAAAGAAGCACCGGCUAACUUCGUG
Molecule: ribosomal RNA, 492 nt
Filed under: uncultured bacterium
Lineage: Bacteria
Description: partial 16S ribosomal RNA
Rfam family: Bacterial small subunit ribosomal RNA
Source: RNAcentral